RNAcentral lists this non-coding RNA (21 nucleotides) under Caenorhabditis elegans. Lineage: Eukaryota; Metazoa; Nematoda; Chromadorea; Rhabditida; Rhabditidae. The record is from RNAcentral.
UUUUUAAAAAGACUUCCGCAA